AAGAUUAUUUCAGAUUUUAUCACUAUCCGGACUGCUAUCUACUAUCUACCUAUCUAGCUACCCGGGCUCGUUGUGAGGCGGGACCCAACCCUCCACUUCACUCCACUGCUUCAACAAAAAUGGAUCCAUCAUCUGCUACCCAUGAGUAAUAACGUUACGAAUCUACCACUGAUCCCGAGGGCAAGUAUGAAAAAGAGAGUCAAGCAAGGUUGGAUUCGUAUGUUCCAUUUGAGUAAGCCUCUGAUGCCCUGUGCACAUAGCUUCUUGCAUGCCCGAUGGCAGAUCUCCCAACCUGGAGUAUAUUCCCGGCCCCGUAGCUUAGCUUAA
RNAcentral lists this ribosomal RNA (327 nucleotides) under Triticum aestivum (bread wheat). Its description in RNAcentral is "partial small subunit ribosomal RNA". Lineage: Eukaryota; Viridiplantae; Streptophyta; Magnoliopsida; Poales; Poaceae. The record is from RNAcentral.